This 88-nucleotide transfer RNA is filed under the name Paenibacillus sp. HMSSN-139. Its description in RNAcentral is "tRNA-Leu". It matches the Rfam family "tRNA". Rfam says of the family: Transfer RNA (tRNA) molecules are approximately 80 nucleotides in length. Their secondary structure includes four short double-helical elements and three loops (D, anti-codon, and T loops). The record is from RNAcentral. Lineage: Bacteria; Bacillati; Bacillota; Bacilli; Caryophanales; Paenibacillaceae.
UGCGGUAGUGGUGGAAUGGCAGACACGCUAUCUUGAGGGGGUAGGUGGGCGUACGCCCGUGGAGGUUCGAGUCCUCUCUACCGCAUCC